GCCUACGGGGGGCAGCAGUAGGGAAUCUUCCACAAUGGGCGAAAGCCUGAUGGAGCAACGCCGCGUGGGUGAAGAAGGUCUUCGGAUCGUAAAACCCUGUUGUUAGAGAAGAAAGUGCGUGAGAGUAACUGUUCACGUUUCGACGGUAUCUAACCAGAAAGCCACGGCUAACUACGUGCCAGCAGCCGCGGUAAUACGUAGGUGGCAAGCGUUAUCCGGAUUUAUUGGACGUAAAGGGAACGCAGGCGGUCUUUUAAGUCUGAUGUGAAAGCCUUCGGCUUAACCGGAGUAGUGCAUUGGAAACU
This 305-nucleotide ribosomal RNA is filed under the name uncultured bacterium. Its description in RNAcentral is "bacterial SSU rRNA". It matches the Rfam family "Bacterial small subunit ribosomal RNA", at positions 337 to 634 of the family's 1533-position model. The record is from RNAcentral.